GACGAACGCUGGCGGCGUGCUUAACACAUGCAAGUCGAACGGAAAGGCCCUGCUUUUGUGGGGUGCUCGAGUGGCGAACGGGUGAGUAACACGUGAGUAACCUGCCCUUGACUUUGGGAUAACUUCAGGAAGCUGGGGCUAAUACCGGAUAGGAGCUCCUGCUGCAUGGUGGGGGUUGGAAAGUUUCGGCGGUUGGGGAUGGACUCGCGGCUUAUCAGCUUGUUGGUGGGGUAGUGGCUUACCAAGGCUUUGACGGGUAGCCGGCCUGAGAGGGUGACCGGCCACAUUGGGACUGAGAUACGGCCCAGACUCCUACGGGAGGCAGCAGUGGGGAAUAUUGCACAAUGGGCGGAAGCCUGAUGCAGCAACGCCGCGUGCGGGAUGACGGCCUUCGGGUUGUAAACCGCUUUCGCCUGUGACGAAGCGUGAGUGACGGUAAUGGGUAAAGAAGCACCGGCUAACUACGUA
This 468-nucleotide ribosomal RNA is filed under the name uncultured bacterium. RNAcentral's name for it is "partial 16S ribosomal RNA". It matches the Rfam family "Bacterial small subunit ribosomal RNA", at positions 28 to 507 of the family's 1533-position model. The record is from RNAcentral.